Molecule: long non-coding RNA, 173 nt
Filed under: Meriones unguiculatus (Mongolian gerbil)
Lineage: Eukaryota; Metazoa; Chordata; Mammalia; Rodentia; Muridae
Description: Adaptive response 33 conserved region 4 (ENSMUGG00000011244.1)
Rfam family: Adaptive response 33 conserved region 4
Source: RNAcentral
CCUGGCGCCCUUCAACCAUCAGUCCUCCAGAGCGCGCGCCACCGUCGCCAAGGCCAGGUCGACGUCAGCUCGGAUCCCACCUCGCUCCUGCCCAUCCCCACGGACGCCUAAAGCACGAUGGCGCCGGAUUGCACACGAGCGAGAAACAGCAAAGAGCCGUAACAAAAGAAGGA